GGUACCGGGAGAAUAANCCACGGCUAACUCUGUGCCAGCAGCCGCGGUAAGACAGAGGUGGCAAGCGUUGUUCGGAGUUACUGGGCGUAAAGAGUCUGUAGGUGGUCUGUCAAGUCUUUGGUGAAAGGCCGUGGCUUAACCAUGGGAAUGCCAAAGAGACUGGCAGACUGGAGGCUGGGAGAGGGAAGCGGAAUUUCUGGUGUAGCGGUGAAAUGCGUAGAUAUCANAAGGAAGGCCGGUGGCGAAGGCGGCUUCCUGGAACAGACCUGACACUGAGAGACGAAAGCGUGGGGAGCAAACAGGAUUAGAU
Molecule: ribosomal RNA, 310 nt
Filed under: uncultured Leptospirillum sp.
Lineage: Bacteria; Pseudomonadati; Nitrospirota; Nitrospiria; Nitrospirales; Nitrospiraceae
Description: bacterial SSU rRNA
Rfam family: Bacterial small subunit ribosomal RNA
Source: RNAcentral